GGGGAUAUGGCGAAAUCGGAAGA
This 23-nucleotide transfer RNA is filed under the name Piptochaetium medium. Its description in RNAcentral is "partial tRNA-Leu". Lineage: Eukaryota; Viridiplantae; Streptophyta; Magnoliopsida; Poales; Poaceae. The record is from RNAcentral.